AGCCGCUAAACCCCCCUAAACUUCUUAGGUGACCUCGGAUCA
RNAcentral lists this ribosomal RNA (42 nucleotides) under fungal sp. CC8. Its description in RNAcentral is "partial 28S ribosomal RNA". Lineage: Eukaryota; Fungi. The record is from RNAcentral.